UGUUGUCUCUGUUGAUCCUAACCCCUUUUGCAAUAGCUAUGGAGGGCCCUCAGGUGUGGGCUGCUGGCUGGCAAAAUGCUCUUGCUCAAAUUGGACCAAAUUUUGCUUGGUACUUUCUGCAUUCUACUCUCACUCGCUUUAUAGUCCUUUUAUACGUGUUCUUAAUUACACAUUUAGAGAUUGCAAAAUAAAUUUAUAGACAUGUUAAAUAGUCUUGGUGAUUACAUCUAGUUCAUUAGAAAUUAAAGUCGUUUAGUACUUCAUCUGGAAAUUUGAAUCAGUAAACGAAACACUGGUGAUAACAUUUUAGACCAUGACGACAAUUUGGAACACGAUGAUGAACACCAAGA
RNAcentral lists this long non-coding RNA (350 nucleotides) under Manihot esculenta (cassava). RNAcentral's name for it is "long non-coding RNA (MESC_LNC010301)". The record is from RNAcentral. Lineage: Eukaryota; Viridiplantae; Streptophyta; Magnoliopsida; Malpighiales; Euphorbiaceae.